GUCGUAACAAGGUUUCCGUAGGUGAACCUGCGGAAGGAUCAUUACCACACCUCUUUUACUUGUGUAUAAUGUUGGAAUCCUCCGGGAUGAAAAUAUAACAUGAGCUAAAAAACAAUGGAAGGUGAAAGAGUUCAGGCUUCAAAACCCGGACUUCUGGAUCUGACUAUUGCGUCCCGUGUAACCUUUUUAUCUCUUGUGGUGUCUUCGGAUACCCAACUUAUAAAAACAAAUAACAUUUCAAAUGUUGAUCUGAUUAUGAUUUACCAAUAAUUAGGAGUCUAUUGCGUGUUUACUCACCCUUAGAUGACUAUACAAAUUAAUGAUAAAAACACUUUCAGCAACGGAUGUCUUGGCUCCCAU
This 360-nucleotide unclassified non-coding RNA is filed under the name fungal sp. RNAcentral's name for it is "partial internal transcribed spacer region". The stretch from base 1 to 44 matches the Rfam family "Eukaryotic small subunit ribosomal RNA", at positions 1788 to 1831 of the family's 1831-position model. The record is from RNAcentral. Lineage: Eukaryota; Fungi.